GGUUAUGUGGCGCAAUUGGUCAACGCAUCCGACUGUCUAUUGGAAGAUUACGGGUUCGAACCCCGUCAUAGCCGCCA
This 77-nucleotide transfer RNA is filed under the name [Clostridium] innocuum. RNAcentral describes it as "tRNA_Asp_GTC". It matches the Rfam family "tRNA". Rfam says of the family: Transfer RNA (tRNA) molecules are approximately 80 nucleotides in length. The record is from RNAcentral. Lineage: Bacteria; Bacillati; Bacillota; Clostridia; Eubacteriales; Clostridiaceae.